RNAcentral lists this ribosomal RNA (503 nucleotides) under Candida albicans. RNAcentral describes it as "eukaryotic LSU rRNA". The stretch from base 135 to 288 matches the Rfam family "5.8S ribosomal RNA". The record is from RNAcentral. Lineage: Eukaryota; Fungi; Ascomycota; Pichiomycetes; Serinales; Debaryomycetaceae.
ACUUGCUUAUGCACCACAUGUGUUUUUCUUUGAAACAAACUUGCUUUGGCGGUGGGCCCAGCCUGCCGCCAGAGGUCUAAACUUACAACCAAUUUUUUAUCAACUUGUCACACCAGAUUAUUACUAAUAGUCAAAACUUUCAACAACGGAUCUCUUGGUUCUCGCAUCGAUGAAGAACGCAGCGAAAUGCGAUACGUAAUAUGAAUUGCAGAUAUUCGUGAAUCAUCGAAUCUUUGAACGCACAUUGCGCCCUCUGGUAUUCCGGAGGGCAUGCCUGUUUGAGCGUCGUUUCUCCCUCAAACCGCUGGGUUUGGUGUUGAGCAAUACGACUUGGGUUUGCUUGAAAGACGGUAGUGGUAAGGCGGGAUCGCUUUGACAAUGGCUUAGGUCUAACCAAAAACAUUGCUUGCGGCGGUAACGUCUACCACGUAUAUCUUCAAACUUUGACCUCAAAUCAGGUAGGACUACCCGCUGAACUUAAGCAUAUCAAUAAGGCGGAGGAA